This is a long non-coding RNA of Gossypium arboreum, 1222 nucleotides long. RefSeq lists it as uncharacterized. The transcript is spliced from 2 exons. The record is from RefSeq and is a predicted model, not a curated record. NCBI's taxonomy places the organism in Eukaryota, Viridiplantae, Streptophyta, Magnoliopsida, Malvales, Malvaceae.
AAUUUCAAGUUCUGUACAAAACAAGGUUAAAAAAAAACCCUAAAACCAACAUUUAUCACUUAAAAGCAAAUAAAAAAAAAACCUAAGGCCUAUCCCCUUGUUCAUUCAGCCGAACCUAAGGCUUCCUCCAUCACCACACCGCCUCCAUAUUCAACAAACGACGUCAGGCGAAGGCCUAAUCUGGCCUUAAUCGACCGUAAAUCUGCUUGUUUUGCUAGGCUUAACCUUAAUCCUCAUCUAAACUUGGACUACCACGAAGCAAACAAGGAUUUCGAAGCCUCCAAAAAGAUGAGUAUCUAUAUUCUUACUUAUUUCUUUCGUUUUUACAUAUACGAUAACAAAAAUCAAAGGAAAAAUGGAAGCAAAAACGAAAGGAAAAUCAGAUUUUUCAUCACCUCUUGGAAACUGUCUUUUUUAUUCAAACUUUUAGCACCGAUUUGCAUGCGUAAUCUCCUCCUCUCUUUACAAUAAGGAGCCAGCUGGAGGUGGUGACGCACGUGGGAUGAGGUGUGAGGGACGUGCACGUGGGGCUGGCACGGAGGCAGCAGCGGUGCUGGAAGCUGCUGGAAACCAGUUGCGGCGCAAGGGAAAGAAACCUUAGGGUUUCUGAAAAUAUUAAACUUUGGGCCUGGGCUAGUUUUUGUUAUUGGGCCAUUGCAGUUUAAUUUGUAUUUUGGGCCUUGUUAUUUUUGGAUUUUGGGCUUAGGUAUUAUUAUGGACAUUGGACUUUAAUUUUGGUUUUUGUAUUUUGGUUUAUUUUGUUUUUUUGGUUUUUGUAUGGGCCCGGGUAAAAAUGGCCAUUACAGUCAUCAAGGAGAGCAAUCGUGCAUUAACCAAUAGACAGCUUGUGGUGAAGGCUAGGAAUGAAAUAAUAAAGCUAGGAAUUGGACAGCAGCACCCUUGCCUUUAUUGCAGUGAUGAGAAUGCUGAUGCAGCUUUUCUUGGCCACCAACCCAACACCACUACGGGUGCGUAAUCUGCCGGCUUUGAACCAGGGUUUUCGAUCACUAGAGGUUGAAACUGUAAACUAGAUAAUAAUGUGCUCGAUCGGUUUCAUUACUGCAUCUGUGUAUGUGUUUGCUUAUUACUAUCGUCUGCGUGUGUGUUUCCUUAUUACUAUCGUAUGUCUGUGUGUUUUAAGGCCUUCAAGCUUAUCUAGUCGCCAUGUAUGGCUAAUUCAUGUAUAAUUUUAUGAUAAAAUAAGCGGCCUCUUUUGCAAGAA